This 77-nucleotide transfer RNA is filed under the name Deltaproteobacteria bacterium. Its description in RNAcentral is "tRNA-Trp". It matches the Rfam family "tRNA". From Rfam's summary of the family: Transfer RNA (tRNA) molecules are approximately 80 nucleotides in length. Their secondary structure includes four short double-helical elements and three loops (D, anti-codon, and T loops). Lineage: Bacteria; Pseudomonadati; Myxococcota; Myxococcia. The record is from RNAcentral.
AGGCCAGUAGCUCUAAUGGUUAGAGCGCCGGUCUCCAAAACCGGUGGUUGGGGGUUCGAAUCCCUCCUGGCCUGCCA